AGAUUGAACGCUGGCGGCAUGCCUUACACAUGCAAGUCGAACGGCAGCACGGGAGCAAUCCUGGUGGCGAGUGGCGAACGGGUGAGUAAUAUAUCGGAACGUGCCCAGUAAUGGGGGAUAGCCCGGCGAAAGCCGGAUUAAUACCGCAUACGACCUACGGGUGAAAGCGGGGAUCGCAAGACCUCGCGUUAUUGGAGCGGCCGAUAUCAGAUUAGCUUGUUGGCGGGGUAAAAGCCCACCAAGGCAACGAUCUGUAGCUGGUCUGAGAGGACGACCAGCCACACUGGGACUGAGACACGGCCCAGAUCCUACGGGAGCAGCAGUGGGAAUUUGGACAAAUGGGCGACAAGCCUGAAUCCAGCCAUGCCGCGUGUGGAGAAGGCCUUGGGUGUAACACUUUGUCUAGGAAGAAACGCUUUACUAAUAUUAGGGCUAAGUGUACGGUACGUAGAAGUAAUAAGACGACCGACUAACUACGUGACC
Molecule: ribosomal RNA, 483 nt
Filed under: uncultured soil bacterium
Lineage: Bacteria
Description: bacterial SSU rRNA
Rfam family: Bacterial small subunit ribosomal RNA
Source: RNAcentral